This 337-nucleotide long non-coding RNA is filed under the name Androctonus crassicauda. The record is from RNAcentral. Lineage: Eukaryota; Metazoa; Arthropoda; Arachnida; Scorpiones; Buthidae.
GACGUGCUUGGCCGUUUCUUCCGACUUCUGUUUAGUCGGUAUGGCCGAUGCCUUCUCCACAUUCGGCCCGACUUCACCACAAACCGGGCCGUCGUGGCUCGGCCGUUUCUUUCGACUUCUCUAUAGUCGGUGUGGCCGAUGCCUCCUCCACAUUCGGCCCGACUUCACCUCAAACCGGGCUGACGUGGCUCGCCGUUUCUUCCGACUUCCGGUUAGUCAGUAUGGCCGAUGCCUUCUCCACAUUCGGCCCGACUUCACCACAAACCGGGCCGUCGUGGCUCGGCCAUUUCUUUCCACUUUUCUUUAGUCGAUGUUGCAGUUCCCUCAUCCGCCUUCG